This is a long non-coding RNA of Capra hircus (goat), 1226 nucleotides long. RefSeq lists it as uncharacterized. The record is from RefSeq and is a predicted model, not a curated record. The transcript has 3 exons. NCBI's taxonomy places the organism in Eukaryota, Metazoa, Chordata, Mammalia, Artiodactyla, Bovidae.
AGCCCUCCUCCCGUCCCCCUGCCCCCAUCCCACUCCACGCCCCUCCCCUGGCCCCUGACUUCCAGCACCGGUGGAUUCUUCUCCUGCUCCGGGUUCCCCUGGGGCGCACGCCCUGCUCUAAGCCACCGUGGGGAGCACCAGGGCCGUCUCCACAGUUGGGUGGGGCAGCCUGGCGCCCCUGCAGAUUCCAGUGCAGACGGGCCCUGUGGAAAGGGGGUCCCUGUGAGGUGCACGGGCACCUUGCGGCGGGCGGCUGAGGAGCUCCGAGCCGUGGGCCAAGUGGCUGUGGUCGGGCCAGGUCGGGGGCUACACUCGCCGCCCCAGUUGACCAGUCAGGGUCGCAAGUGCUCGGCCGGCACCCUCCGUGUCCAGGCAACGGCCAGGUGUGGACCAGGCGGUCGGGGGCGCUGCCCUCAUCGCCCACGCUCUCAGGAAGUGCAGGCGUGUGACCCCUGUGAGACAGUCAGACGUGCUGCUCGCGCCAUGGGCCCCCCCAGGUUGUCAGGCUGCACGCUUGGCAUCUGCUCACCGGGUGCCAGGAGAACCCCACCCCCAGGGUGACAGCCGGCGUGGACACCGCCAUCGGCGUCAGGCCCGCUUCCCUCGUCACGGGCCUUUCUGGGCACGGUGGCCGCGCUCUGGCCAGCCGAGACCUCUCCCCAAGCCUCGGACCUGCAGGAAGAGGCCUCCGGGGCCCUUCAGUGCUGUUUCCCACCCAUAACCAAGGGCAGCGCCUUGCAUGGAAAACCAGUAACUUGUGAACAAAACACACGCGCGGCCGUCCUCUGCCGGUGUGCAGACCGCAGAUGGACUCAGGCUCCUUUCCGCUGCCCGCCAGGGGGAAGACAACGCUCAUCAGCUUGAGGGCGGGCCGAGGGCUGCUGUCUUUCGGGGAGGCCCGGGUCUCCACUCCGGCCCGCGACCGCCCUUGCGGGUGCACACAGUGACCGCGGGCUCCCCGCCUCCCAAAGCCCCACAGGUGGCUUGGCCACAGUCCCCAGUGCGCCCACAGCCCCGGGAGAGCCGACCCCUGGGUGGCCGCCUGCCGACGCUGAAGAGACUGUGGAACUGGGCUGAGAGCAUGUGGCUUUCUGGGGACAGGGCUGGUGGGUCCGUUUGUCCCCCAACCGUCGGAGCACCACCCUCUGAAAUUGUUAGGGACCAAACGACGGGCUCUAGGACCUGAGUCAUGUUUACCAGAAAGAGACAGGCAUGCGCUCAUCCUG